UAAAAAAAUGUAAAAUGCCGGUGGUGGGGAAGUAACGUUGGGUAGCGUUGAUGAUACACAAGCCAAGCUCUGGGAGUGCGCGUGAUAUAUGAAGGUGACUGGAGUCAGAUUUGUUUCUGCUGGAGUGGACUUCACCAGCUACAAACGAAUACACGAGCUACAAACGAAUACAAGUGUGCACUGUCGCCUGAGGGUUCACGCGCUGCUGUUGACCCCAGAGAGGUUCAUUGGAGUGAGACAGUUGAACAUUUUAUGGUGGAGGAUUCAGACGAGCCAGAGCUUGGUGACUCACCGGUAGCCCUGCUGACAAUCGUUGGUGACAACACGGAAAAUCCAGUCCACUACAAUCCGGUCAAGAUCUCUGUCAUCCUGGAGAGUGAAGUUGUGGUGAUUGAUCUCCCCAGACUGCAGGAUGCUUUCCUGGUAAUGUUUGUUCUGAUCUAUGCUCUACAUCUCAGUUAUCCGAAAGAACUGUCCAACACGUUUGAGUUAAUUCAGAAAACCCUGCUAGGUUUAGAAGAUGGGGAACUGAAGCAAAGGCUACAGGCUCUGAAGAAAGAUUUGAUGAUACAUGUGUAGGCAUUGACCAAAUGCCUACCAUAAGCUGAUAACACUCUUUGUUUUUGUUUCAACAUAACGAGAUGUGGCUUAAGGUUGGAGUCUUAUUUUUUAGAUGACAUUGUGUUGGAUUCUGUAAGAAGUGUUAUGCUGAGCUGCUAGAAUACAGUACAAAAGAUUGUCAGAGUAUUUGUUUUGAAGUCGGAACAGAAAUCUUACAGGCCACCUACCACAAGUGCUUUACAUGGGCUUUUCCCUGAACCAUGCAGGUGGAAUUUGCAUAGAAUUCUAUUGUUGCGACUUCACUUUUGGUAUGAAAACAUACACUCCUGAGUCUUCACCUGUAAUGUACACUUAAAUGUAUUUUAUGUUUUUGUUUCCAUAGCAUUUGGUUUUAUGGUUAAUAUUCAUUUUGUUUUUAUUUAUAAGCUGUUUUAUCAGAUAAAGCUGACAUCUUUUGAGAAACUAUCCCAUGGUAAUGCCAUUACAGUAUGUUUUAGACUUAGAGCAACCUGGACACACAACGGUGUAUGUUCCAAUACUUUAGAUUCAAGAACUGUUUAAUAACACUGAUAUUCUAAGCUAAAUCUCAGAACCAAAUACUGAGCCAAGUCACUACACGUCCACAAAGAGUUUAGCCUGAGAACAAAAGCCAGCCAUGACUUUAAUGUACAAAAUGUUGUGCAAAGUGAUACUGUUGCGUCACUGCAGUAUUUCCACCCCAUCAUGGGUUUUUGAUGAUCUUUUAGAAGGUAUUGUGUCUGUUGAGCUGUCUCAAUUGAUAUUGGAAUUUCAGUUUACUUGAAAUAAUAAGCUGUUUUAUAAUCCCAAACUGACCUCAAAAUUAUUAUUUGUUGACAUAGUUGAAAAAUUGUUAUUGUUUAGGAAAGGAACCCCCAAAAAAUAAACUUGCUUUUACCCCCUAAUCAUCAUUACAAUACCACCUCCACCAGGGGUUGGGGUCAAUUCCAUUUCAAUUCAGGAAGUAAACUGACAUUUCAGUUCUAAUUUCAUCUCAUAGGAGGCAAUGAGGAAAAUUGGCAUUGAUAUUGAAAUGUUAGUUUACUUCCUGAAUUGAAAAGGAAUUGACCCCAACCAUGGUGGAAGUGCUACUGUAAAGUGUUCUCUUUAAAAGUGAACCUUUGCAGCAUGUAGGAUAAUAAUUGUAGGUCAUAGUGUUUCUUAGAUCUGCCAUGUUCCUUAACUUAUUAUUUCCUUGCUCAAAUGCAUUGAUAUUACUUUUUUUGGGGGGGGGCCAGAUAACCGGAUGCUUGUUCCUGACGCUGAGACUGCCUGCUGUUCUGUACCUUUUGGACUCUGAUCUGGAUUACUGACCUCUGCCUGCCCUUGACCUUGUCAUU
Molecule: long non-coding RNA, 1919 nt
Organism: Coregonus clupeaformis (lake whitefish)
Lineage: Eukaryota; Metazoa; Chordata; Actinopteri; Salmoniformes; Salmonidae
Exons: 3
Source: RefSeq, a predicted model, not a curated record